GACGAACGCUGGCGGCGUGCUUAACACAUGCAAGUCGAACGGAAAGGCCCUGCUUUUGUGGGGUGCUCGAGUGGCGAACGGGUGAGUAACACGUGAGUAACCUGCCCUUGACUUUGGGAUAACUUCAGGAAACUGGGGCUAAUACCGGAUAGGAGCUCCUGCUGCAUGGUGGGGGUUGGAAAGUUUCGGCGGUUGGGGAUGGACUCGCGGCUUAUCAGCUUGUUGGUGGGGUAGUGGCUUACCAAGGCUUUGACGGGUAGCCGGCCUGAGAGGGUGACCGGCCUCAUUGGGACUGGGAUACGGCCCAGACUCCUACGGGAGGCAGCAGUGGGGAAUAUUGCACAAUGGGCGGAAGCCUGAUGCAGCAACGCCGCGUGCGGGAUGACGGCCUUCGGGUUGUAAACCGCUUUCGCCUGUGACGAAGCGUGAGUGACGGUAAUGGGUAAAGAAGCACCGGCUAACUACGUG
RNAcentral lists this ribosomal RNA (468 nucleotides) under uncultured bacterium. RNAcentral describes it as "partial 16S ribosomal RNA". It matches the Rfam family "Bacterial small subunit ribosomal RNA", at positions 28 to 507 of the family's 1533-position model. The record is from RNAcentral.